RNAcentral lists this ribosomal RNA (152 nucleotides) under uncultured archaeon. RNAcentral's name for it is "partial 16S ribosomal RNA". It matches the Rfam family "Archaeal small subunit ribosomal RNA", at positions 322 to 473 of the family's 1478-position model. The record is from RNAcentral.
CCUACGGGGCGCAGCAGGCGCGAAACCUUCACAAUGUGCGAAAGCACGAUGAGGGGAUCCCAAGUGCUUGCUCGUAAGAGUAAGCUGUUUCAUUUGUCUAAAAAGCAGAGAGAGUAAGGGCUGGGUAAGACGGGUGCCAGCAGCCGCGGUAA